AUGGGAACGCGAAGAACCUUACCUACUCUUGACAUCCAGAGAACUUUCCAGAGAUGGAUUGGUGCCUUCGGGAACUCUGAGACAGGUGCUGCAUGGCUGUCGUCAGCGUCGUGUUGUGAAAUGUUGGGUUAAGUCCCGCAACGAGCGCAACCCGUUAUCCUUUGUUGCCAGCGGUUAGGCCGGGAACUCAAAGGAGACUGCCAGUGAUAAACUGGAGGAAGGUGGGGAUGACGUCAAGUCAUCAUGGCCCUUACGAGUAGGGCUACACACGUGCUACAAUGGCGCAUACAAAGAGAAGCGACCUCGCGAGAGCAAGCGGACCUCAUAAAGUGCGUCGUAGUCCGGAUUGGAGUCUGCAACUCGACUCCAUGAAGUCGGAAUCGCUAGUAAUCGUAGAUCAGAAUGC
Molecule: ribosomal RNA, 406 nt
Filed under: uncultured bacterium
Lineage: Bacteria
Description: bacterial SSU rRNA
Rfam family: Bacterial small subunit ribosomal RNA
Source: RNAcentral